CCCUGUUCUCAGGGCGGGGCGGAAUUCCCCACCGGCGGUAAGCGGAUCACUCCGUAAGCCCGCGAGCGCCUUCGCGUUAGUGAAGGGUCAGCAGAUCAGGUGCAACUCCUGAGCCGACGGUCAUAGUCCGGAUGAAAGAGAACGAGC
This 147-nucleotide non-coding RNA is filed under the name Litoreibacter arenae. RNAcentral describes it as "Thalassobacter arenae FMN sequence". It matches the Rfam family "FMN riboswitch aptamer (RFN element)". Rfam says of the family: The RFN element is a highly conserved domain that is found frequently in the 5'-untranslated regions of prokaryotic mRNAs that encode for flavin mononucleotide (FMN) biosynthesis and transport proteins. This element is a metabolite-dependent riboswitch that directly binds FMN in the absence of proteins. In Bacillus subtilis, the riboswitch most likely controls gene expression by causing premature transcription termination within the 5' untranslated region of the ribDEAHT operon and precluding access to the ribosome-binding site of ypaA mRNA. The record is from RNAcentral. Lineage: Bacteria; Pseudomonadati; Pseudomonadota; Alphaproteobacteria; Rhodobacterales; Roseobacteraceae. RNAcentral also lists the same sequence under 1 other name.